GCAAACAUCAUUCCCAACGAUUGUGUUCGAUAUUCCUCCCUCUUCCCCUCUUCCCCAUAUUCCGCAGCGCCCGUUCAGUUUUUUUUGACACAUAAAUUUUUUGUUGUUGUUCUUUCUCUCUUCUUUUAUACAACCAUUUUAUCAUAUUUCAACAAAAAGUUAUAUUUAU
Molecule: long non-coding RNA, 169 nt
Organism: Caenorhabditis elegans
Lineage: Eukaryota; Metazoa; Nematoda; Chromadorea; Rhabditida; Rhabditidae
Gene: linc-54
Product: ncRNA
Source: Ensembl